Molecule: long non-coding RNA, 890 nt
Organism: Homo sapiens (human)
Lineage: Eukaryota; Metazoa; Chordata; Mammalia; Primates; Hominidae
Product: long intergenic non-protein coding RNA 1718
Source: Ensembl
GCAUCUCACACCCACUACUUACGCGCCAGGCGCCUCUUUGGACGCCACUCCACAGCCUCGUGUGUUAAGAGGCACACAAGAGCUGCCUGAUUGGCCCCCAAGCUGAGAACCGGGAGCCGGAGGAAAUCAUAGCGAAAUCUCAACCUGAUGUAGCCCCAUCAGCAUCACACACACACUCAGAGCAAAAUGGCCUGCUCUUCAAUGUAGCUUAGUUUAGUUCAAUUGUCCUGCCCACCCCCUCCUGACCCUCCUGCCGCUGAGGGGUGGUAUUUGAAAGAACAGCUGCUUGCACAUGUAACAGCUUCCAGGAUAACCAAUGAGCUGGAACCAGUAAGAUGUGGCUGGGGAAGGGGGCUUCUCAUCUGUCAGCUGGGGAGCCUCAUGGGGCCUUACAUGGACUCAGCUUCUUACCAGUUCCAGAAGAGCACCCAAACGGCCCUGGGAUUUUCAACUCUGAAGCAUAAGGCAAGUUAAUGAAGCACCCAAUUCACACCAGCUUUUAUCUGUCAGAGAAACACCAGCAAGCAAGGUAGAGACAACAAGCCAAACCCUGAUGUGCAAGUAUGAACUUCAUGUUAAUUAGGAAUCGGAAGAAUGUGUGGGUUUCUCUAAUGCACUCAUCAUACGAAGCCAGCUGAUUCAAAUGCUCUCAACCUGAGCUUCGGGUCAUUUGUGUUAGCUGUAAGGCCAUCUGAGGCAGAUGCAUUGAACCUGACCUUGAGAGUAUCCUUGACCACUGGACCAAGAGGCCAGAGACUCUACAAGUGUGCUCAGGCCAGAUGGCUAACUCAACUAGUGCCUGGCAGGAAGACUCAAGAUGCCAGCUUCUCCCCUAAACCAUGUGAACAUUCAACCAUUUUAAACUAUAAAAACAGCAAUUUCAACCAAAA